This 87-nucleotide small nucleolar RNA is filed under the name Caenorhabditis japonica. RNAcentral describes it as "snoRNA CJA49050". The record is from RNAcentral. Lineage: Eukaryota; Metazoa; Nematoda; Chromadorea; Rhabditida; Rhabditidae.
GCAGUUGUGAUGAAAUGAAACAAAAGAAGGGCAUGCCGUUGUAUUAGAGUUUUUACGGUAGACUUUUUUCCCAACGGAUCUUACUUU